Molecule: long non-coding RNA, 30921 nt
Filed under: Marmota monax (woodchuck)
Lineage: Eukaryota; Metazoa; Chordata; Mammalia; Rodentia; Sciuridae
Source: RNAcentral
CCCAGUGAAGCACAACACUUUAUACUCAUGACUGCAUUGAGUACCCGUGGACAAAGGCCAAGGGAUUCUUUAUCGGGAAUAUUUCCACGAGAGUUGGCCUAACUACAGAAAAUACUGUGUACCUCUUGUGAUCUGGUAGGUCAAAUGCAAGUUUUUCUUAAAAUGCUUAUAUUAACUUUUCAUUUAGUUUCAUAGUUGCUUCCAUGUUCCUUUUAUUAUAAAAAUAAUUUUUUAGUCACUUAACUCCCUCAUAGUAAUUCCCAUCCUCAAGCAAAAUCAGUGAUUCAGGAAAAUACAUUAUGACUUUGUUGAUUUGUGUAACCUGUAGUGGCCAUAAUUUCUUUUUCAGUGAAGAUGAGAUCUACAGAAGUGACACUUCUAUCCUGUCUUCCCACCCUUCCCUAUACUUUCCUCUCUAUAUCUUCAUUCUGUAGCACAAAGUGACUCAUGUUUGGAGAGAAGUUAAAAGUGUUAUGACAUUGCCAGAAGUCAUAAACUGAGGGAAAGGGAAAUCUUACUUCAUAUAUAGUGUGCCUGUGCCUACAUGUGCAUGUGUGGGAUCAAAGAGCUGGGAAGAAAACAUCACCUCACAGGAAUAUGGAUCUGCAUAAAAUAUUGGGUCGAACAUUUCUUUAAAUUUUGGGAUUUGCACAAGGUACAAUAAGGAGCAGAUUAGUUUAUAAUUAAAAAUGUUUCUCCACCAGCAAUAAUUCAAUGACUUGUGAUGUUCGAUUAUGGAGACAGAAAAGAAGAUUGUCAGGUAGGUGUUAGGCCACUUAUGAACCAUCCCACUAAGUUUAAAAGCUACACUUAAAAGACCCUCUUCCGAGCUUAAAAAAAAAAAAGUUUUAAGAACAGGGUAGAAAUAGCAAGAUAUGUGAAGCUAAAUAAUAUAAUUAACUGAAAAUAUAUUUCAAAAACUAAGUCUUACUCAGGUCAUCCAUCAUCAACAAAUAUAGAUUACAAACUACUGUGUGUGCAAGCUGCUUAAAAUGGAAUAACAUCUCCAUCAUUAUUUGCACUGCCAACACCUAGCAUGGAUGUAGUUGUUCAUUGCUGUGAUCAGGUUGUACACUCAUCUGAAAGCCCAAGUGUGUAUGUGUGUGUGUGUGUGUGUGUGUGUUUGUGAUACACCUCCAAGCUCAAAUAAUUGUUGGCAAACUUCAGUUCCACUAUGACUGGUUGAAAAUUUCAAGUCCUUUCCACAUGGGCAUCUCCAUAGACUUCCUGAAUAUCUGCACAGCAUGGCAGCCAGCUUUCCCCAACAUGAACGUUCUGAUGGAGAGAGACAAAGAGGGACAGAUAUUCCCCAAGACAAAAUCCAUAAUCUUUGAAAACCUUAUCUUGUAGGUGACAAAUCAUCACUGUGCUGUGUACAGCUGGUCACACAGAUGACCUUGGUAUAAUUAUGUGAGGGAAUCCAUGAGGGUGUGAACACUGGGAGGCAGUGAUCACUGGGGUUUUUUUGAAAGCUGCCUAUUCCAAUGAACUCAGUCAUAUAUUAAAAUCCUCAAUAUUAUGGGACAAAUGGAUAGAUGAACGAUGCUGUUUGCCACAUAGCACUCUCCCACAGCAAUGACUUUAAUGAUAUUAUUAGAUAUUAUAUGACUAUAAGCCCGAAAUGUGCAUCUGUGAGGAAAUUUCUCAGAGUAGGGCAUGGAAAUCACAAUAUCAUAAAGUUAACUACAAUAAAACCCCAAAUAUAAUUUAGAAAGUUAGUCAGUAUACAGCAAACAAAUUAAAACAGUCUGCAUUCCACAAUCAAGAUCAGAAGUGAAAUAAAGCAUUUAAGAAGCUUAAUAUCAUAUUUUUCUACAUGCUAUGAUACAUAUGUUUUGGGAUAGCAUUUUGUUUUUUAAUUCCUUAGUAAUUAUAGCAGCUAAGAAUUACUGCAUGGCAUAGUAAAUCUUUUAUUCAUACAAUGUAGAUACCUACUACAGGAAAUAUGAGGACAGCAGAAACCAUUAAGCUUACUGAAACAUUAAAUUUUAACAUAGGAAGCAUAUUCUAAUGUAGCCUAUAAGAAGAUGAAAAUAGAAAAAUGUGUUUCACAGACAACUUUCAGAUUUCUAUCAGAUCAGUGUAAACUAAGGGAAAUCUCAGGUCUUGGAGCUGCCAUGUUUAAAUGUGGUUUGUCCCCAAAAAUCUCAUGUUGAGGCUUGGUCCCCAAUGUGGUGGCGAUAAAAUUUAGUGUCUUUGAAGAGGUGAUUAGGUGAUUGCUUUUCUCCUGGGAGUGAGUUCCUGCUCUCCAGGGACUGGAAGGUUACUGUGAGAGUGGGUUGCUAAAAUGCAACUUCAGCUUCCAGGGCUAUGUCUUUCUUGCUUGAGCUCACUUGCACAUGUGCUGUUUGCUCAUGGCCCUGAUUGUUCACAUGCUGUGAUGCCGCCAGGGGCUGUCACCAGACACUGGCAGGAUGCUGUCUGGACUCCCGAGCCACUAGAAUCAUGAGGUAAAUAUACUUCUUUUCCUUAUGAAGUACCCAAUAUCAGGAAUCCCGUGAUACCAAUACAAAAUGAACCAAGAAAGGAUCCAAGCAAACCUGGAUUUGAAUCCUGGCUUCAACGCUUACUAGCCAUUAUCAGACACACAUUUCAAUAGAGUCCUGGUCUACUUCCAUUUGCCAUGACUUCUGGUUGCUUAUUUUUUUUUAAUGCAGAUUUUGGCUUAGAAAUUGCUCAAGCCUAUGACACAAACUUUGAUAAACUAAUGUAACAUCAUGUAACAUCUCUGAGUCAUUUCCUUGGAUGUUAAAUGUAUAUAAGUUUGUUGUAAAUCAAGCAGUGAAUGUGAUGCCAACAGCAGUGAAGGGUGGGUUAUGCACAGAUCUUACACACUACUUCAGAUUCCUCUAACUCCACCUGUCUCCACACUAUAGGUUCAUCUGUCACUAUUGUACCCUAAACUCAAUUUGGCCUUAUUGUUCUGGCCACCCAGUAAUUUGCUCCAGAUGUACUGGGUUUUCUAUCUUGGCUGAUCACGAGCACCCUUAGAAUUUGUCAUUCUGAGCACCAUUUCUGGGUCUAGACAGAAGACUACACAGCAAGUUUUGGGAACUAGUGUCUCAAGAGGUCUCAGGAAGGACUGUAUGACAUACCCUAGAAGUUCAGGGGCCUUAUCUCCUUGUAGGGAAAAAAAAUGUGACCAUUGAGAAACUACAGUUGAGAGGAAACUGGGCAGAUUAAUCGUCUCUCCUUCCUCUUUCCUUAAAUGAUAUUUUCUCUUGCCACCAAAUGGGAACUGCCCAAGUAGAAAUGGCUGCUGACCAACCCUGUGCUUCCUUGACUUCUCAUGGAGCCAUGCAUCAUUUCAAUCACAUCCUUCCUCACCAGGAAUUCUCAGACACACAUUUCAACAGAGUCCUGGUCUACUUCCUAUUGCCAUCACUUCUGGUUGCAGAUUUUUUUUUAAUGAAGAUUUUGGGUAAGAAAUUGCUCAGGCUUAUGACACAAACUUUGAUAAACUAAUAAAACACUCAUAUCUUGAACAUAUGCCAAUGUCCAUGGGAGCUACUGUUGCAGAAAAUCAGCCUUUCUGGAAAGUUGGAAAUAGUGACAUGAGAGAAGAAACAUCCCAGCUAUUUGUUCUGACUUCAGGAGGAAUCAUUUAAGCUAGAAAUUCCAAACAUCCUCACUUGUUUUUUCUCUCUCACCCUCUGCAUCCUAUCACCCUUGCUUAGUCACUGUAACCUUUCUAACCACUUCCCUGCUUUUUGUCCUUUAUCAGCAUAGAUUUGACUCUCAGUCUUCUGGACAAGAGCUUCAGAGCCUCUGUCCCACCAGCUCCAAUUUCAUCCUACUGAACCCAUUCUCCAAGUUGCUAUCAGAUUAGUCUUUCUAGAAUAUAAGGCAGCUUGCUUGGCUUCUCUACUCAUGAAUCAGUAAUCCCUCAUAGCUUUUAGAGCGUGCCUUCAAUUAAAGCUUUCAGAUUAAACUCAUUGUGAGACCUUCCCCUACCCCCUAUCCACCUCCCCUGCCAAUAUGAAUAAUUACAACGCUGUAUGACAAAUACUUAAAAAGGACAAGCUAAGUGCUGUAAGAAGGGAGAGACAGUAUCACACUCUAGCUGGGUCAGUGGACGGCAGUUUAAAAGAGGUAUGGUGUUUGAGCAAUAUAUUUUCUAAAAUUAGUUUUAGGAAGUGUCCAACACAUUUACCCUUUUAUUGUUUUUUUUUCUCCUUAUAUACAAAUGUUGAUGCUGGUCUAUGAUUGUAUUGUUUAAAGAAUUCUCUACUUCUCCCUGUGGGAGAAUCCUGUGUGUUCUACUGUGGCUUUUCAUGUAACUCGCUACCCUCAUUGACCCACUGAAUUGGUGCCAGCCUUGGCCACAUGGCUUCUUUGUCUAGUGAGAUGCGGGUGGAAAUGAUGUGUGCCUCUUCUGAGUAGAAGCUUUAAGAGCUCUGGUGUGGUUCUUCCACUUUCUUUUUUCCCCUCAUCAUGAGAUCAUCAUGUCACUGCUCUUUCAGUCUGGGUCCAAAACAAAGGCUAUUUGGAGCAGAAUUGCAGCUGACCUGCAAUGGGCAAGCAACAUAUGAGAGGAAUAAACCUUCACUGUUAUAAGUCUCUGAGAUUUUAGGGUUGAUUUUUACUGUAGUGUAGCCUAAUCUAGGCUGAUCCAUACAUUUACUUACAUAGUAUUUAUCUAUUGCUGCUUAAAACUUACCCCCAAAUUAGUGGCUUAAAACAGCCAUGACAGAUGAUUGUUUAGUUUACUCCCAAAUCUGUAAUUCAAGCAGGGGUUAGGGCUGAGGGGAGCUGCAGAUAGCUCUUUCCUGUUCCAUACUUACACAGUUCAAUGGUUGGGAGCUGCAACCAUAGGAGGUCUUACUCAUGUGUCUGGUGGUUGAGGCUGGCUGUCAGCUGGGAUCUCUGCUGAACUGUAGCCAGAGCACCCACAUGCAGCUUUUCUUUCUUUUCUGUUUCUUUUUCUUUUUUUCUUUGAUGGUGCUGGGCCAUGUGCAUGUUAAAGCCCCAGCCCACUGUAGCCUUUCUCAGUUGGCUACUCGCUUUCCUCACAGAAUGGGCUUGGGUCUCCUAGGUGAAUACACCAAAAUAAGCAAGUAGAAGUGCCAUGUCCUUUCAUGACCCAGAUUUCCAUGUCAUGGAGAACCACAUCUCAUAUACAAAAAGAACAAAUAAACAAGAGAAACUAAAAAAUUGAUAUUAGGGUUCUCCAUAGAAACAGAACCCAUAAGAUGUGGUGUGUGUGUGUGUGUGUGUGUGUGUGUGUAAAAGAGAGAGAGAGAUUUCAAGGAAUUGGCUCAUGCAGUUGUGGGAGUUAGCAUGUUCAAAAUCUGUGGACGGCCUGGCAGGAGUAUAUGUCAGCCUUGAGUCUGAAGGUGGCCUGGAGGCAGAAUUUCUUCAGAAUUAGGUCACAAAAAAUGAGUUCCCUGGGAGAAACACAGUUCUAACCUCACAAGAGGGAAUAUGGGGUUUUGUGUGUGUGUGUGGUGUGUGUAAGAGAGAGAGAUUCAACUUUUAAAAAAUCCAUUCAUGGACACUAAUGAAAAGUGGCUAUUUUAUAAAAAAAAAAAAUUCAUAGGGCAGGUAGGGCAGGGAAAGUUUAUAAUGCACAUUCAACUUAAACUACCUGAAUUACAAUGAAAAAUAUCAAAUCAACCUAAUCAGAAAACUAAAUUCUCUCACAGGUAAAAAGAAAAGGAAAAAUGAAUGGAGAAAGUUCAAAGGAGAAAAUGACAAAUAUUUGUCAUUAAAAUGAUCUCAGAGUUGUAGUUAAUACACUUAAUCUAGUAAAUUAAUAAAACAACUAAAGUAGGUACUAUAAAAUAUUAUCUAACCAUAUGUGACACAUUUGAAGGAAGUUAGAAAGGUAUUUGAGGGUGAGGGUGUAUUUGAACCUAAAGGUCAGGGUAUUAAAAAUAAUCCCAUAUGAUGAGCAUUAAUUUAGAAUCUUCCAUUAUCUCCACCAUUACACAAAAAGAAUGGGCAGGAAGGUUUAGUAGUUCUGUCAGUGGGAUUAUUACAUUGGAAUGACAUUAUCCCCAAUCCUUCAUCCUGACCCCAUAUUUCUGAUGGAUAGUAACUGCAUAAAACUUAUCAAUUGUCAUUUAGAAACUGCAACUUGCUUGGGUUCAAAGAAGAAUUCAAAUGAUAAUUGCUAUAGACAGAAUUUUUUCUAUCCCCUCCCAAAUUCAUAUGUGGAAAUCUUAACCUCUAGUCUGGUGGCUUUUGUGGGUGCGACUUUUGGGAGGCGAUUAGGUCAGAAGGUUGGAGUCCUCACAAAUGAGACUCGUGUCCUAAAAAAAAGAACCCAGUGAGCUCUUCUCACCUCUUCUGCCAUGUGAGAUCACAAUGAGAUGAUGACCAUCCAUGACCCAGGAAGACGGCCCUCACUAGACACUUAACCUGAUUUUGCCUUUACCUCAGACAUCCCAGCAUCUAGACUGUAAGAAAUAAAUUUCUGUUGUUCAUAAACCACACAUUUUAUAUUUCAUUGUAGCAGCCAUAUAACACUAAGAUAGUAAUUUCAAUUCACCCUAAAAGCAGUUCAUUAGACAAUGUCAUCUAAACAGGAUGACUCAGGUAUUCUUAAAGCAAAUGAUUUUUCAAUCCUGGAAAAUUAAUAAAGAAUGUAAAUCAAAUGUGUAGACUUAACAUUUGUGUACUGUGUUUAAAAAUAAGAAUUUCAUCAGUAGGAUAGUCUCCCAACACUUGAAUAUAAAGUACUUUCAGUGUUUAAGAGAUUCUGAGAUGGAAGCCUAGAGGUUCUUAAUAAAUUAUGUAAUUGGUUUUAGAGUUUUGGGUCUGAGUUGAAUAUUAGAGAAUAGUUUUCUAAAAUAUAUACACUGUAUUGAGAGGCUUAAGUCAAUUUUAGAUUAACUAUAUUUAUAAGUUAAUUUAUUAGGUGGAUGAUAGUUUCAGUAUUUGGAAAAAGUUUGCUAGGCCUGCAAAUUUUGAAGUAUUUAAUAAUAGUUAUAAUUGCAUUAAAAUAUUUGUUUAUUUUUUGCAUUAAAUAUUUAAAUAACUUAAUAUACUAAGUUUGUAAAUAGGUUAAUAUGUUUUGAAUUGAGGUGGUCAAAACCUUUUCCAGAAGUAACAGUUUUUAUUUAAUUUAAUUCUGUUUUUUUUUUUUUUUUGUACUGGGGAUUGAACCCAGGGGUGCUUUGCUACUGAGCUACAUCCCCAUCCCUUUAUUUUAUUUUGAGACCGGGUCUCCCUUGUAAUCCUCCUGCCUCAGUCUCCCAAGUUGCUGGGAUUAUAGGCAUGCACCAGAGCACCUGGCUGAUUUCAUUCUUAAAUUUACAAGAUUGACAAAAGCAAUAAAGUUUUGAAGAAACUUGUUUCUAAAUUUUCACUUUAAUAAACUAAAUUUUAAUUUAAAUCCAAGCAUCUUUAAAUAGCUUAUCUAAACUUGAAAGCUCCCCCAGGAAGACCUAAAAUGGAGGUCAAAGACCAAAUUUCCACUGUGAUAAGAAUUGAGAUUUUGAGUCAGAAGCAAUUAAAACUGGUAUCAAAGUAAUACCAAAGAUGACUGAAUUAAACUUUCUCAAGUUGUAGAAACAGAUGAUUAGCAGUGUUUGGUAGAAUGGCAAAGCAAGAAAGCAAAUAAGAGAUCCUUCAUUUUAACAUAUGCUGGAAAACUUCAUAAAUUAAAACAGUGAGUAUCCAGCCAGGGGAAUUUUUUGUUUGUUUGUUUGUUUUGCCAACUUUAAAAAGAUGAAAGAUCAGGCUAUCUUCAUCAAGACUAAAUACCCUAAAACUUGGAAAAGAAAAAAUAUCGGGUAAGCCUCCUAUCAUUUAUGGGGAUAACAGAAGGUAGUCUAAUUUUACAAUGACUGAAAGACUAUAACAUCUACGAUCACCAACUGGCUGGGUUGAUGAUAUGAACUGAGUUUAAAGGAGCUGGCUGUAUCAAUAACAAAGAAAACAGCGAAGAAAGCUCGCAAUACACAGAAAUACCUUUUGCAGGAAUCAGGGAUGUUUCUGAGACCUCUGGGGUCUGCUGGAAAGAGAGUGUGCAUCUAGAUUAUUUUUAUGGGAGGGACCCACAAAAGGAGGUUCCAUGGAAUGUUCUUUCCAAAUAAAGCAAGGGGUCAUGUUUCAGGGGGUUGAAUCUAGCUUCCCAAUGUCCUGUGGUCAGUAGAUUGAUUGACAUCUUGGCAAGUCACAACCAUCUCAGGUGCCCUGUGGGAACACAGGCAGAGGAAAGUGCACACAAUCCACAAUCGUUGCACAACCCAAAGAGCAUGCAAGGACAGGCUGGUCCUCCCGUAUGCUCAAAUGCGCAUAGCUCACACACACAGUCCAUGGAUGGCUCACGACAAUCUACAUAACCCAUUUAGAGAAAAAAGGCUUCAAAAGUGUACUUUUAAUGGCAAAGAGAUUAGCAAAGUAAAGAUUUGAGAAUAAGGAUGAGAAUAUACAAAUGCAUGACAAGUCUCUACCUUCAUAACCAAUGUAAAACUCCAAAUGCAAGAUCCUUCUGGACAGAUUUUAACCGUGACUGAGCUGUUUCACUUCUACUUUUACUUUCUUCUCAGUACUAAGAAAUCUGUUUUUCUGGCAGCAUACUCGUUAUCUUAUUAACUAGGUGAAAUCUCUGACCAUUUUUGGAGUAAAAAUGUAAUAAUCCUAUUGGUUGUAUUCUAUUAAGUAGCUGAAUCUCAACAAUGACUUAGUUUGAUGACUUAGGUGUUAUUUAUAUGGGUUACAAAGAAGAGAUGCAUAAUAACCAUUUUAAUUGCCAAAGAAUUUGAAAAACUUUUUGAUAAUCAAAUGUAAUAUGAAGUGAUUUGAGUCAUUGAUCAUUUUAUUGCCCUUUUUAAUUGGAAAGAAACUAACAAACCACUUAAAGACAAAUAUUAUGUUUCAAAAGCUCUUUUUCAUAUUGUGUUCCUUGAAGAAUGAAAAAAUAUGUUAAAUAAACAUAAUGAUCAGAAAGAUUUCUAAAUACAUAAAUAAAUACUAUAAGAUAAUAUGCCAAAAUAUUAACUGAGUUGUGUGUUCUGUGUGAUUUUGAAUUUUUUCAGCAUUUUGUAUUAUUGAAAUUAUCAUAUGCAUGCAUUACUUUUAUAAUGUGAAUAAAUUUUCAUUUUAAAAAUUGAUUUAUACAACCUUCUAAAUAUAAGAUAGUCAUACUUGCAUAAAAUGUAUAUGUUCAGUGGGAAUUAACCAAAAGAGCUACACAAUUUAAGCAAUAAACUGACAUAGUAUUAGAUAUCGAUCCAAAUUAGAAAACAGAGGUCCACAAGUCCAUAUUGACUCAAUAAAUGAUUAAUAAAUUAAUAAAUAGGGUGAAAGAGACAGAUUUCCCAUGGAGGACAAUUUCAAAUAAUCAUAGAUACUUCCACUCCUUAAGGGGGAGGGCAGGGGAGGCUGUGCAUAGUAACUUUCUUCCAAAGACUACAGUAUGGAGAUGAGGAGGGAAGUAACUUCACAGAAUAAACUCUAUAAACCUGCAUAAACACUAUCAUAGUCAGUGAUAGAGGUCAACAUCAAAGUCAUUAAGCAUAUCAACAGUGUGUACCCUAGAUAGGAUGUAAUGAGAAUAGAACUUUAUCUAUGUGUUCUUCUUUCCAAAACCCAUAACUCCAAUCUAAUCAUGAAAAAGCAUCAGACAAAUUUCAAUUGAGAGACUUUCUACAAAAUACCUGACCAGUAUUUUUCAAACUGUCAAGGUCAUCACAAACAAGGAACAUCUGAGAAAUUGUCACAGCCAUGGGGAUCCUAAGAAGAUAUAACAACUAAAUAAAAUAUGGUAUCCUAAACUGGGCAUGGUGGUGCACACCUGUAAUCUCAGCAGCUCAGGAAGCUGAGUCAGGAAAAUCGCGGUUCAAAGCCAACUUUAGUGAAAGUGAGGUGCUAAGCAACUCAGUGAGACCCUGUCUUUAAAUAAAAUACAAAAUUGGGCUGGGGAUGUGGCUUAAUGGUUAAGUGCCCCUGAGUUCAAUCCCCGUAUACCUCCCCCAAAAAAUACGUUAUCCUAGAUGGGAUCCUCCAAGAAAAUAAAGAGAUUAGAAAAACCCUAGGGAAAUCUGCCUAAAGUGUGGACUUUAGUUAAUAAUAAUAAUGCAUCGAUAUCAAUUUCUUACUUGUAACAAAUAUAUCAUAUCAAUGUAAGGUGUUACUAAUAGGGGAAACCGGAUGCCAGAUAAAUGGGAACGCUCUAUACUAUCUUCUCAAUUUUUCUGAAAAUCUAAACUUUUCUAAGAUACAGAAUCUAUAAUAAAUGCUUUAUUGCUCUUGAAACAUGAAACUUACAAAAUUAGAUGCAUUCUAUCAACAAUUCUGACAGGAGUCCAGGGGCAGCUGGGUAAGUCAAGAAGUUCCAUGCUCUGAUAUGAGUCACUUCACAGAGGCAGUGCUCCCAAACUACCAUACACUAAGUUAGUCGCUUCCAGUCUUAGGUUCCAAAAAGGUUUUCUGAACUUGCAAUAUAAAUGCGUUCUUGAGGAUUCAUGCCUAUGUGUUUGAAAGUCUAGAGGGAGGUGAGAAAGAGGAGGAAGUAGAAUAGGGAUCUAGACUAUUUCUUCCCUUGGCUCUCUGGGUGGUGCAUUUUACCUGUACAACAAUUUUAAUUGAUUCAAAGGUAGUUAGAUCCUCACCUUCCUCUUUAUAUUAAAGAGGUUUUGUAACUUUCUGCCCAAGCUGAUCUUUUUUGCCUUACCCCUCUUUGCUGUAUUGGGUUUAAUUUCUUCUAGGUUUGUCCUUCUUUGUUGAUGCAGGAUGCUGGAAGUUCCAGUGUGGAGAGUGUAGGGGUACUAUAUGAGUACUGAAACUGGGGAAAAGGUUUGUUCAAUUGAGAUAAAUUUAAAUAUAAUACAAAACAGUAUAUAUGUUUUACAGUAACACAUUGUAAAUAUAAUACAUUAUACUAUGCAGUAAGGAAAUAUUCAUGUGUUCAUUAACCAAGUAUAACGAAUACCAACAAGUUCUCAUAUUUAUUUCAGAUUUUUAAAUAAGUUUUUGAAAUUAAUUUAUUUAUUUUAAUUUGUUAUACAUGAUGGCAGCAUGCAUUUCAAUUCAUAGUACACAUAUAGAGCACAAUUUUUCAUGUCUCUGGUUGUACACAAAGUAGAGUCACACCACUCAUGUCUUAUACAUGUACUUAGGGUAAUGAUGAUGUCCAUCUCAUCCACCAUCUUUCCUACCCUUGUUUUCUCCUCCCCCUUUGCCUUAUCUAAUGUUCCUUCAUUCCUCCCAUGCUCCCCCCUCCCACCAUUAUGGAUCAGCACUCACAUAUCAGAGAAAACAGUUGGCCUUUGGUUUUUUGGGAUUGGCUUAAUUCACUUAGCAUGAUACUAUCCAACACAAUCCAUUUACCUGCAAAUGCCAUAAUUUUAUUCUCUUUUAAUGCUAAGUAAUAUUCCAUUGUGUGUAUAUACCAGUUUUCUUUUUAAUCCAUCCAUCUAUUGAAGGGUAUCUAAGUUGGUUCCACAACUUAGCUAAUGUGAUUUUGUGUGCUAUAAACAUUGAUGUGGCUGUGACACUGUAGUAUGCUGUUUUUAAGUCUUUUGGGUAUAAACUGAGGAGUGGGAUAGCUGGGUCAAAUGGUGGUUCCAUUCCAAGUUUUCCAAAGAAUCUCCAUACUGCUUUCCAGAUUGGCUGCACCAAUUUGUAGUCCAACCAGCAAUGCAUGAGUGUGUGCCGCAGUCUGGCUGGGCACAAAUGCCACAGUCUGGCUGGGCACACAAUCAUGAGCCACCACACAGCUUGUAGAUUCAAACAGCAACUCUUUAUUCCCGAACUCACACCAGCCGUCUACAAUCACGUUCUGGGGAAAUCCACGUUCUCUGCCCAAAUCCACUCCCACUGGGCUUCUGUCUCCCAAAAAAUACUGUCUGAAUCCCAUGAGAACUCAAGGGGAACUCAGGCAGCAGGAUACGCCCUAUUCCCAGCAGGAAUAAUCUUAAACCUGGAACCUAAACUGGGAAUGCCCUAAACCCGGGUCCGCCCUGGUCCUUGAGCAAGGUCACCUACAUGCAAUGUCACUGCAAAAUGUCCUAUUUCCACGAGUCCUUCCACUAAGCAACAUGGGGUACGCUGGCAAGGAAAUUGUCAUACCUACUUGGCUAAUGGCUCCCAGCAAGUGUGCAUUUCCCCUGCAUCCUUGCCAACACUUAUUGUUGUUUGUAUUCUUGAUAGCUGCCAUUCUGACUGGGGUGAGAUGAAAUCUUAGAGUGGUUUUGAUUUGCACUUCUCUAAUUGCUAGAGAUGUUGAACAUUUUUUCAUAUAUUUGUUGAUUGAUUGUAUGUUAUCUUCUGAGAAGUGUCUUGGCCCACUUAUUGACUGGGUUAUUUGUUUUUUUGAGGUGUUAAGUUUUUUGAGUUCUUUAUAUAUCCUAGAGAUUAGUGCUGUAUCUGAUGUGUAUGUGGUAAAAAUUUGCUCCCAUUCUGUAGGCUCUCUCUUCAUUUCACUGAUUGUUUGUUUGUUGUUGUUGUUGAGAAUAAACUUUUUAGUUUCAAUUCAUUCCAUUUAUUGAUUCUUGAUCUUAUUUUUAUUUUAUUAUAUUCUUGUCUAUAGGAGUCUUGCUAAGGAAGUUGGGGCCGAAUCCAACAUGAUGAAGAUUUGGGCCUACUUUUCCUCCUCCUCCUCCUCCUUCUUCUUCUUCUUCUUCUUCUUUUUUUUCUUCUUCUUCAUUAUCUUUCUUUCUUUUUUUUUUUUUUUUUUUUUUUUUUUUUUUUAAUUUUUUAUUGUGGGUUGUUCAAAACAUUACAAAUUUCUUGACAUAUCAUAUUCCACACUUUGAUUCUAGUGGGUUAUGAACUCCCACCUUCACCCCAUACACAGAUUGCAGAUUCACAUCAGUUACACAUCCAUUGAUUUACAAAUUGCCAUACUAGUGUCUGUUGUGCUCCGCUGCCUUUCCCAUCAUCCACCCUCCCCCCUCCCCACCUCUCCCCUCCCCUCCCCUCCUCUCUCUCUACCCCCUCCACUGUAUAACCCUGAGGGUCUCCUUCCAUUACCGUGCAAUUUACCUUCUCUCUCCCUUUCCCUCCCACCUCUCAUCCCUGUUAAAUGUUAAUCUUCUUCUCCUGUUCUUCGUCCCUACUCUGUUCUUAGUUACUUUCCUUAUAUCAAAGAAGACAUUUGGCAUUUGUUUUUUAGGGAUUGGCUAGCUUCACUUAGCAUAAUCUGCUCUAAUGCCAUCCAUUUCCCUGUAAAUUCUAUGAUUUUGUCAUUUUUUAAUGCAGAGUAAUACUCCAUUGUGUAUAAAUGCCACAUUUUUUUUAUCCAUUCGUCUAUUGAAGGGCAUCUAGGUUGGUUCCACAGUCUUGCUAUUGUGAACUGUGCUGCUAUGAACAUCGAUGUAGCAGUGUCCCUGUAGCAUGCUCUUUUUAGGUCUUUAGGGAAUAGACCAAGAAGGGGAAUAGCUGGGUCAAAUGGUGGCUCCAUUCCCAGCUUUCCAAGAAAUCUCCAUACUGCUUUCCAAAUUGGCUGCACCAAUCUGCAGUCCCACCAGCAAUGUACAAGUGUACCCUUUUCCCCACAUCCUCGCCAGCACUUGUUGUUGUUUGACUUCCUAAUGGCUGCCAAUCUUACUGGAGUGAGAUGGUAUCUUAGGGUGGUUUUGAUUUGCAUUUCUCUGACAGCUAGAGAUGUUGAGCAUUUUUUCAUGUACUUGUUGAUUGACUGUAUGUCCUCCUCUGUGAAGUGUCUGUUCAGGUCCUUGGCCCAUUUGUUGAUUGGGUUGUUUGUUCUCUUAUUGUCUAAUUUUUUGAGUUCUUUGUAUACUCUGGAUAUUAGGGCUCUAUCUGAAGUGUGAGGAGUAAAGAUUUGUUCCCAGGAUGUAGGCUCUCUAUUUACCUCUCUUAUUGUUUCUUUUGCUGAGAAAAAACUUCUUAGUUUGAGUAAGUCCCAUUUGUUGAUUCUAGUUAUUAACUUUUGUGCUAUGGGUGUCCUAUUGAGGAAUUUGGAGCCCGACCCCACCGACUGUAGAUCGUAGCCAACUUUUUCUUCUAUCAGACGGCGCGUCUCUGAUUUGAUAUCAAGUUCCUUGAUCCAUUUUGAAUUCACUUUUGUGCAUGGCGAGAGAAAGGGAUUCAGUUUCAUUUUGUUGCAUAUGGAUUUCCAGUUUUCCCAGCACCAUUUGUUGAAGAUGCUAUCCUUCCUCCAUUGCAUGCUUUUAGCCCCUUUAUCAAAUAUAAGAUAGUUGUAGUUUUGUGGAUUGGUUUCUGUGUCCUCUAUUCUGUACCAUUGGUCCACACGCCUGUUUUGGUNAGACCUACAACAGACCGCCGGCAGGCUCCUGGGCCUGAUCCGCCGGUCUGUUGUAGGUCUGCCUACCUUGAAGGCGCGGGCGGCGGAUCUGCCCUGCCCCUCCUACCACGCCUGCGGACCCCUGGGCCUGAUCUGCAGGUUGAUCACUGGUCUGCUCACCCUGCGGGCACGGGUGGCGGUUCCGCUCCACCCCCACUCCAAUUGGGGUCACGUGACCACCACACCGGCAGGGCCUGAUCCGGGCGUGGGAUAAGGAUCUGCUCUGCCCCUACUCGAGUUGGGGUGACGUGUGUACCACACUGGCAGGCCACUGGGCCUGACCCGCCAGGCUGUCACAGGUCUGUUUACCUUGCAAGCGCGAAGGGCGGCUCUGCCCUGCCCCUCCUACCACGCCCAUGUACUACUGGGUCGUGGGUCUGCCCACCUGGCGGGUGUGGGUGGCGGCUCCGCUCCGCCCCCUCUCCAAUUGGGGUCACGCGGUCACCACGCUGGCGAGCCGCUGGGCCUGCUCCGGGGGCUGGCGGCGGCCCGGCUCCUUCCCUCUGGCUCGAGGACAAAUUGAGGAGACUCGGGUGACUGAGCCUCACCCCCCUUACCAGGAGACCAACUGCUUAUGUCACCGCUGGUAUUGAUGAAGAUCUCUCCUCCACCGCUUUCUGCUGACAUCAGAUCUCUGCCAUGUUGGUAUCCUAUGCGAAUGGCAGCAUUUCGUUCCCCUUGCCAGGCAACCCAAGCAAUGGGUGAGUCCUGACCUGCCCUCAGCAGGACCCGGACCGAGACACAGUUUCCGCGGGCUCCUAGCCCCGGUCCAGGGAAGUUCCGGGAGCCGGAACUCGGCCGCUCCGUGCUCGGUGUAAGCUCCUAUAAGUGUAGGCUCCAAGAAGCAGCCCCCGCGGGCUCAGUUCCGGGAGCCGGAAUUCGGCCGCUUAGUGUUUGGUGUAUGCUCUGAUAGUAGCAGGGUCCAAGAAGCAGCCUCCGCGGGCUCCGCAGCCCUGAGCCAGGGCGGUUCCGGGACGGUUCCGGGAGCCGGAACUCGGCCGCUCUGUGCUCGGUGUAAGCUCCUAUAAGUGUAAGCUCCAAGAAGCAGUCCCCGCGGGCUCAGUUCCGGGAGCUGGAAUUCGGCUUCUUGGUGUUUCGUGUUUGCUCUGAUAUUAGCAGGGUCUAAGAAGCAGCCUCCGCAGGCUCCGCAGCCCGGAGCCAGGGCAGUUCCGGGACGGUUCCGGGAGCCGGGACUUGGCCGCCCCGCGCUCCGUGUUCACUCCGAUAAGAUCAGAUUUUAAGAAGCCCCCAGGCGCUGAACCCUAGCAAUCUGUCUGCAAGCCGCAGGCGAAUUGCAGCCUGAAAUUACCUGUUCUAUGGCUGAAUGAGCUGCGGUCAGUCAUCUUUCUUUUUUAACAUUUAUUUUUUAGUUGUAGUUGGACACAAUACCUUUAUUUCACUUAUUUAUAUUUAUGUAGUGCUGAGGAUUGAACCCAGGGUCUCACGUGUGUGAGGCAAGCACUCUACUACUGAGCCACAAACCCAGACCCUACUUUUUCUUCUAUUAGGUGCAGAAUGUCUGGUCUAGUUUCUAGGUCCUUGAUCCCCUUUGAGUUGAGUUUUUUGCAUGAUGAAAGGUGAGGACUUAAUUUCAUUUUGUUGCAUAUGAAUUUCCAGUUUUCCUAGCACCAUUUGUUGAAGAGGCUAUCCUUUCUCCAAUAUGUUUUUGGUACCUUGUCUAGUAUGACUGUAUAUAUGUGGGUUUGUCUGUAUUUAUAUGGGUUUGUAUCUGUGUCCUCUAUUCUGUACCAUUGAUAUACAAGUUUAUUUUGCUGCCAAUACCAUGCUGUUUUUGUUACUAUUGCUCUGUAGUAUAGUGAUGCCACUUGCUUCACUCUUCUUGCUAAGGAUUGCUUUGGCUAUUGAUGAUCUCUUAUUUUUCCAAAUGAAUUUCAUGAUUGCUUUUUCUAUUUCUAUGAGGAUCAUCAUUGGGAUUUUAAUUGGAAUUACAUAAAUCUGUAUAGUGCUUUUGGUAGUAUGGUCAUUUUGACAAUAUUAAUUCUGCCUAUCUAAGAACAAGGGAGAUUUUUUUUCCAUCUUCUAAGGUCUUCUUUAAUUUCUUUCUUUAGUAUUCUGUAGUCCUCAUUGUAGAGUUCUUUCACCUCUUUCAGUAAGUUGAUUCCCAAGUAUUUUAUUUAUUUAUUUUUAGUAUAUUGUAAAUAGGGUAGUUUUCCUAGUUGCUCUUUCUAAGGAUUUGUCACAUAGAAAUGUCUUUGAUUUAUGGGUGUGAAUUUUAUAUACUGCUAGUUUGCUGAAUUCAUUUAUUAGUCCUAGAAGUUUUCUGAUGGAAUUUUUGGAUCCUCUAGGUAUAAAAUCAUGACAUCAGAAAAUAGUGAUAGUUCAAAUUCUUCUUUUCCUAUUUGUAUCCCUCUAAUUUCUUUAGUCUAUCUGAUUGCUCUGGCUCAAGUUUUAAGAACUAUGUUAAAUGGAAGUGGUUCAGAGAAGUUAGCCAAUACCCAAAAAACAAAUGCCAAAUGUCUUCUCUGAUAUAAGAGGGGUGACUCAAAAUGGGGUAGGGAGGGAGAGAAUGGGAGGAAGAUUACCUCUAGAUAGGGAAGAGGGGUGGGAGGGAAAGGGAGGGAGAAGGGGAAUAGCAUGGAUGGUAGAAGGAGAACCUCAUCAUUAUAUAAAAUACAUGUAUGAAGAUGUGAAUUUGGUGUCAACAUAUCUUAUAUACAGAGAUAUGAUAAAUUGUGGUAUAAAGGUGUAUUAAGAAUUGUAAUGCAAUAAUAAUAAUAAUAAAGCUCAUGUAAAAAUAUAAAUAAAUAAAAAUAAAAAAAGAAGUGGUGAAAGAGGGCAUCCCUAUCUUGUUCCAGGUUUUAGGAGGAAUUAUUUCAACUUUUCUCCAUUUAGAAUGAUGUUGGCCUUGGGCUUAGCAUAGAUAGCUUUUACAAUGUUGAGAUAUGUUCCUGUUAUUCCUAGUUUUUGUAGUGUUUUGAACAUGAAGAGGUGCUAUAUUUUGUCAAAUGUUUUUUCUGCAUCUAUUGAGAUGAUCAUAUGAUUCUUAUCUUUAAGUCUUUUGAUGUGAUGAAUUACAUUUAUUGAUUUCUUUUUUUUAAAAUUUUUUAGAUGUUGAUGGACCUUUAUUUUAUUCAUUUAUUUAUAUGUGGUGCUGAGAACCAAACCCAGGGCCUCACACAUGCUAGGCAAGUGCUCCACCACUAAGCCACAACCCCAGCCCUCAUUUAUUGAUUUCUGUAUGUUGAACCAACCUUGUAUCCCUGGGAUGAACCCAACUUGGUCAUGGUGGACUGUCUUUUAAAUAUGUUUUUGUGUUUGAUUUGCCAGAAUUUUAUUGAGAAUUGUUGCACCUAUGUUCAUUAGAUAUAUUGGUCUGAAGUUUUCUUUCCUUGAUGUGUCUUUGUCUGGUUUUGGUAUCAGGGUGAUACUGGUUUCAUAGAAUGAGUUUGGAAGGGUUCCCUCUUUUUAUAUUUCAUAGAAUAAUUUGAAGAGUAUUGGUGUUCUUCUUUAAAGGUCUUGUAGAACUCAGAUGUAUAUCCAUCUGGUCCUGGGCUUUCCUUUGUUGGUAGGCUUCUGAUGACAUCUUCUAUUUCAUUACUUGAAAUUGAUCUGUUUAAUUUGUGUAUAUCAUCUGGUUCAAUUUGGGUAGAUCAUAUGACUCUAGAAAUUUGUUGAUGUCUUCAAGAUUUUCUAUUUUAUUUGAGUAUAAAUUUUCAAAAGUUUCUAAUUAUCUUCCGUGUUUCUGUAAUGUCUGUUGUGAUAUUUCUUUUUUCAUCAUGGAUGUUAAUAAUGUGAGUUUUCUCUCUCCUCUUCCUUAGCACGGCCAAACAUUCAUGAAUUUUAUCUUUUUUUUUUAAAGAACAAACUUUUUGUUUUCAAUUUUUUUCAAUUGUUUCUUUUGUUUCAAUGUCAUUGAUUUCAGCUCUGAUUUUAAUUAUUUCCUGUUUCCUACUGCUUUUGGUGUUGAUAUGUUCUUCCUUUCCCAGGGCUUUGAGAUGUAAUGUUAGGUCAUUUUUGUUGACUUUUUUUUUUUUUUACUGCCUUCAUAGUGUCCCAGAAAUUUUGAUGUUGUACAAGUGUUCUCAUUUACCUGUAAGAAUUUUUAAAUCUCCUUUUAGAUGUCUUGUGUAAUCCAUUGUUCAUUCCAUAGCAUAUUGUUUAGUCUCUAGGUAUUGGAGUAGCUUCUAUUUUUUAUUUUAUCAUUGAUUUCUAAUUUCUUUCCAUUAUAAUCUGAUAGAAUGCAGGGUAGUCUCUCUAGUUUUUUGUAUUUGCUAAGAGUCGUUUUGUGGCAUAAUAUAUGGUCUAUUUUAGAGAAGGAUCCAUGUGCUGCUAAGAAGAAAGUGUAUUCACUCAUUGAUGGAUGAAAUAUUGUAUAAUACACUUGUUAAGUCUAAGUUGUUGAUUGUAUUAUUGAGUUCUAUAGUUUCUUUGUUUAUCUUUUGUUUGGAAAUCUAUCCAGUGGUGAGAGAGGUGUGUUAAAGUCACCAGUAUUGUUGUGUUGUGGUCUAUUUGAUUCUUGAACUUGAGAAGAGUAUGUUUGAUGAACAUAGAUGUUCCAUUUGGGGGGCAUAUAUACUUAUAAUUGUUAUGUCUUGUUGAUGUAUGGUUCUCUUGAGCAGUGUAAUAUCCUUCUUUUUUUUUUUUAUUAACUUUGGCUUGAAGUCUAUUUUAUUUGAUAUGAGGAUGGAAACCCCUGCUUGUUUCUGCAAUUCAUGUGAGUGGAAUUUCUUGCCCCAAACUUUCAUCUUUAGUCUGUGGAUGUCUUUUCCUAUGAGAUGAGUCUCUUGAAGGCAGCAUAUUGUUGGGUCUUUUUUUUAAAAAAUCCAAUCUUCCUUCUAUAUCCUUUGAUUGGUGAGUGCAGGCCAUUAACCUUCAGGGUUUUGAUUGAGAUAUGAUUUGUAUUCCCAGUCAUUUUUGUUUAUUUUUGAUAUUAAACUUGACUUGGUUUCUUCUUUUAUUGGGUUUUUCUUUAUGUAAUACCUCUCUUUGCUGAUUGUCAUUGUUGUUUUUCAUCUCCUCCUCAUGGAGUAUUUUGCCAAGGAUUAUCUGUAGUGCAGGCUUUGUAGUUGUAAAUUCUUUUAACUUUUGUUUAUCAUGGAAGGUUUUUAUUUCAUCAUCAAAUCUAAAGCUUAAUUUUGCUGGAUAUAUGAUUCUUGGUUGGGAUCCAUUUUCUUUCAGAGCUUGGUAUAUGUUGUUCCAGCUUUCAGGGUCUAAGUUGAAAAAUCUGCAGAAAUCCUCAUUGAUUUCCCCCUAUAUGUAAUCUAAUUCUUUUCUCUUGUGGCCUUUAAAAUUCUCUCCUUAUUCUAUAUGCUAGGCAUUUUCAUUAUAAUGUGUUUUGGUGUAGAUCUGUUGUGAUUUUGUACAUUUGGUGUCCUGUAAGCCUCUUGUAUUUGAUUUUCUAAUUCAUUCUUCAUGUUUGGAAAAUUUUCUGAUAUUAUUUUAUUGAAUAGGUUGUUCAUUCCUUUGGUUUGUAUCUCUGUGUCUUCCUCCAUACCAAUAAUGCUUAAAUUUGGUCUUUUUAUGUUAUCCCAUAAUUCUUGAAUGUUCUGCUUAUGGUAUUUUACCAUCUCACUGUGUGGUCAACUUUAUUUUCAAGAUUAUAUAUUUUGUUUUCAUUGUCUGAGGUACUGUCUUCCAAGUGAUCUAAUCUGUUGGUGAUGUUUUCUAAUGAGUUCUUAAUUUGGUUUAUUGUUUCCUUCAUUUCAAGGAUUUUUUUAAGAACCUCUAUCUCCUUAUUAAAGUAAUCUUUUGCUUCCUGUAUUUGCUUAUGUAGCUCUUUAUCAAAGUGAUCUUUUGCUGCCUAUAUUUGCUCUUAUAUAUAUCAUCCUUUAAUUCUCAGAUCAUUUUAAUUAUGUACAUCCUGAACUCGUUAUCUGUAAUUUCUUCUUCCAUGCUGGCCAUGGAUUCUAAUAAUGUCAUAUCUUCAUUUGUUUGGGGCACUUUCUUCCCUUGUUUAUUCAUGUUGUUCGUGUCUUCCCUUCUAGCACUUUGGAUCCGAGAUGUUACAGGUUUUUUGUUUUUUUUUUCGUUGUUGAUAGACCUUUUUAUUUUAUUCAUUUACUUAUACGUGGUGCUAAGAAUCGAACCCAGUGCCUCAUACAUAUCAGGCAAGCGCUCUACCACUGAGCCACAAUCCCAGCCCUGAUGUAACAGUUUUUUCCCUAUAGGCUUAUAUUGUCCCUACAGGGUUCUAGUACCUCUCCUUUAAGGGAGAGAACAAUAUUAACAGAUCCCAAUACAGAAAAUAUACAUCCUUAAAGCAAAUAGCUGCUAUUAAGAUGUUUAGGGUUUUGUCACAAUAUGCAGAAAUGGUGAGUUCAAUUAUUAUCUACAAUAUAAACAGUAGGUUUGCAAAAGGGCGUACAGUUUCUGAUGGUGGACAAAGAAAGAACCAGGGAUGGGGUGUAGGAUGGGAGAUUAAGGAGGUAGGAGGUGAGAAUAUAGUUGUUAGAUCUUAGGAAGUGUGAAAGAGGAAUCUAAAGAAGUUGGCUAGUAGCAGGAGAAAAAAGAGAAAGUGAUUUUGGGGAGACAAGUAAGUGGGAAGACAGUAGAGAGAGUACAACAAACAAACAAACAUAAAAAUUAAGAAAAAAAAUGUGGAAAUAGGAGCAAGAAUAUACAACACAACUGUAAUAUACUAUUGAGAUAUCCCAGUCCUCAGUAGCCUAAUUCAUGAAAAGUCCUUAGUUCACAAAUGUUGGGGAUAUGAGUGCGGGAGAAGAGAGAGAGUGAAAAGAAAAGAAGAGAGAGAGAGAGAGAGAGAGAGAGAGAGAGAGAGAACAAAAAGUUCUUGAAGGAAAAUACAAGGAUUGUUUUGUUGGAGUUCAGUAUCUUUCCUGCUUCACUUCUCAUCUAAUAGGUGGAGUUGUCUGUUGAUUACUGGUAUCUCCACCCUCAGAAUAGUGAAGGUUAUUAGGGUGGGAGAGUUGAUCUUGGGGGUGGAGCUCCUGGUUGGGGGCUAUAGCACUUGCUGGUCCCCGAUGGGAGACUGCACCCCAAGGAUCUCCUUUGGGGCCUGCUUGUAUGAUGUGGGCACCUUGUGUUAUCUCCUUGUAUCACCUGUAGACUUUACAAUUCCUAGUCUCUAAUUUAGUCUCUAAACUAUAUCUGACUCACCCCUCCCUUUCUACUUCACAAUCAGGAACCUCUGUCUCUGGAGGGCUUGAGGGCUACACUCUGAGGGCUGUGCAUCUGUCAUGGAGAGCUGUUUUGUAGUGGGCAGGUCAGGGCUAGGUGCAGCCACAAAGCAUUGUGCGAGGGUUAUUGGCUGCAGGGGAUGAGGGGGGUUAGUUGGGGACCAUAGGCACCUUGAUAUUGCUUAUAGACUCCAACUGGUGUCCCAAGCUGGGAGUUUCCCCAACUAAAGAUGGCGACAAAGGUGUCCUAAGAUGGAGGCAGCUGCUUUCAGAAACAGGUGUGGGUUCGGGUCGGGCUGGAUGGUGGCAUUGGCAGUAUGUUCAGAGAUACAGCUCUGUGGCAUGCAGUUUUGUGGCUGGUGGCUGUCUCCAGACCCUGUCCUGUGUCUCCAGGUGCAGGCUACCACAUGUAGGGCACUAUGGUAGUGGUUGCAGUGUCCCAAGUUGGGGCGACCUGGGGAGCCCCAUGUUGAUAGUUGGGGGGUCCCCGCGGAAAUGGUGGCCAUAGGUCUAGUGUAGGCAGGGGCCGGGUAUCCUGAGAGGGAUCGGAGGCCAGGACUCCUGCAUGGGUGGGUGGCCAGGGGUCCUGUGUGGGCCAGCGGCUGGGAGUUCUGCGCUGAUGCUGAGACCUGGAGUGAUAUGUUUUUUUUUUUUUAUUAAUUUUUUUUUACACAAAUGGAACACAACUUUUCAUUUCUUUGGUUGUACAUGCUGUAGAGUCACACCAUUCGUGCAAUCAUACCCAUACAUAGGGGUAAUAAUGCAUCUAAUUCUACCAUCUCCCCCCAACACUCUCCCUCCCUUCCCCUUCCUCUCCUCUCUCCCUUCUACUUAUCCAAAGUUCCUCCAUUCUUCCCUUGUGCAACCCCCACCCCAGCCCAUUAUGGAUCAGUAUCCACUUAUGAGAGAAAACAUUUGGCCUUUGGUUUUUUUUGGAUUGGCUUAUGUUGCUUAGCAUGAUAUUCUCCAACUCUGUCCAUUUACCUGUAAAUGCCAUAAUUUCAUUCCUCAGAUUUUUUUAACAAAAAAUAUUCAACAUAUUUCCAGAAAAAAACACUACAAGAUAACAAAAACACCCAUUCUAAGAAUUUAUCAUUGUGCCUCGAAUUAAGUAGGAAGUUAAGAUUUACAGCCUCAGGAAAAGCAAGAUGACAAUUACAGUAUAAAACUCUCAGAAAUAGGAACUUAAUAGAAAUCUGUACACUUAAGAGGAAAGGAAAAUAUCACAUGAGUUUCCUCUUACAGUGUCAGUAAAUAAUUUAUGAAAGAACACUGAAAACAGAAUUCAGAAAGACUGAAAACACAGCCUUGGAUGUACCUUUCCUGGAAAAACAAUCAUGACCUGUAUACCUGGGUGUAUGUGGGCAUACACACACACACACACACACACACACACACACACCUGCAAUGGUUUUUUCUUUCUUCCUGUAACUUCUGAAAUUACCAAGAGGUCAAAUUUACUUCGCUUCUAAUUCUUUUUGGUCCAUUGUAUCUAAACAACCCUCAUUUUAUCAUUUAUUACCGUAGUCCUUGAUUUAGACAGUUAAAAGGUCUAUAACAUAACUCCAUAAUACAGUUAGAUUUUAUCACAAAUUAUUUUACAAUUUCACAUUUUAUCUCCCCAACUGUGUUGUGAGUUUUUAAAAUAAGAUCUUGAGUAUUACUCUGAUUUUGGGUAUCAGAACUCACUGAUUUAAGAAGUGAUGCAUACUGUAAAUCUUCUAUAAAAACAUGUUUUGUUGAGUGAACUGCUACUUUUAAUGUAUAUAAUUAGUGGUGUUUUUUUUCUACUUUCAGUAUUAACUUAGAGAAAAUUCUCUAUAUUCCUAAAACCAUCUCAAAAUCCCAUUGAUGUUCAAACCACACACAUUGACAUUUUUAUUUGAAAAUUUACCAUGUACUCUUUGGAAAUAACAUGCAUUUAGUUUAUGUAAUGAAUUGUAAAUUACAUUUCCACAUUUAUAUUUCUUGUAGCCAUAUUUUGUAGCCAUAUUUUAUAGCUAUAUUGUGAGCAGUUUGACAAUAGAGAUCCAAGAAAACUUGAAACCUGAGUCAGAGGCCUGACUUAGAACUGUGGUUCAGCCACUGACUGAUUAGGGGUCCUGACACCAUGCCUGGUAGGUGCUCCAUAGAUGUUUGUGGGGUAAAAUAAUAAAUAAACAAAUACUUAAGCCCUCUAUAUCUCAGUGUCUUUAUCUAUUAAAAGGAGUUGCAAUGAAUAAAAUAAAAAAAUAAAAUAAAAUUUAAAAAAGGAGUUGCAAUUAUAUCUAACUUGGAGGAAUGUUGCAAGGAAUAAAAAGCAUAAUAUAUUAAACAUAAUAACCUAUCAGGUAAAAUGUUGAUUUCAGGACAUUCCAUAGGAAUUUGCCUGCUUUUCGUUUUCCCUCAGAUUUAGGGCAUUUUCUUUGUUGGGAUUCCAAAAACAUCUUUCUUUUUCUCUUUAAAAUAAAAUAAACCAAAUUUAUCUUUUAUUUCUCUUCUCACUAUACCCCAUUUAUUGCCAGAGCAUGCUUGUUGGUAUGUUCGCCACUUUAUUGUUAAUGUCCUUCUCUAGAUAUCCAACCACUCCGUGCAUUUUUCAUCUCUAUGAACCAUGUGCCUCUUGCACAGAAUCUGCCUACCCACUUGGGCUUUCUGAGGAUGACUACAUUUAGGUUGCAUACACAUGGGCUAUAUUGCUAAGUCACUGCUGUGAGUCAAUCUCAGGAAAAGAGGAAAUAAUUUCUGCAGCCACCCCACCCUACUCCUAAUGGCAAGAUAAGGAGAGUGAACUUUCCUUUCCUUUGUGGGGGUAUUGGAGGGACACUGGCAGAAACUGGUGGGAAAUUCCUGGGAAGUGCAUUGGUUCCUUAGGGAGGUCUAUUAACUUCUUCAAGAUAAAAGGGCUUCUUCUUAAGAAGUUUUGUGAUAUUCAAGUGCACACAAAUUUUCAAGUACGUAAGGCCACUGAAGAAAAUUGUUAAAAAUUCAGAUUUUUGCAGGAUCCUCCUACAAGAAGAUUCCCUUGUUAGGGGUAGUGCCUAGAAUCUGCAUUUAACAAUCACAACUUUCCCCUCUCCCAUUAUAUUGAUGCAAAUGAUUCUCUGCAAUUCAGGAAGGACUAUUAGUCUACCAAGAAUUGGUCAGCACUAUUCAUGGCAAAGCCAAGUCCAUCCAAAAGCCAAGUAUAAUACUAAUCAGGUUGGCAGGAUGAUAGGUUUCUUGCUCAGUUGGUUUCUUUGGAAACAUUAAUUCUAGUAGAACCAGAGCAAUUAAUAGAUUUAGCCAUUUGGAUCUUCAGUGGUGUAGAUGACGAACUCAAGACCACCCAAAAUUGUGCCUAGUUUUAGGUGACUCACUGUAAGGGUGUUCUAAAAUAUGUUCAGAAAAAGAAGAACCAGAUUUAAGAAAAUAGACAUGAAGAUCAAAGGAAUAGAAGAGAAGACAUAGAGACAGGCCCACAUAAAUGCAGUUAUCUAAUCUUAAGACAAAGGAGACAAAAAUAUAUAUUGGGGAAAAGAUAGCCUCUUCAACAAAAUGGUACUGGUAAAACUGGAAAUUCUUAUGUAGUAGAAUGAAAUUUAACCCCUAUCUCUCAUCCUGCACAAAACUCAACACAAACUGGAUCAAAGACCUAGAAAUUAGACCAGAAACCCUACAUCUGCUAGAAUAAAAUGUAGGCCCAACCUUCCAACAUAUUGGCUCAGGAAUUGAAUUUCUUAACAAGACUCCUAAAGCACGAGAAGUAAAAUUUAAAAAUCAAUUAGUAUCAAAUUGAAAAGCUUCUUCACAGCAAAGGAAACAAUCUAGAUCAUGAAGAGAGACCCUACAGAAUGGGAGAAAAUCUUUGCCACCUGCACGUCAGAGUGUUUAUAUCCAGGAUAUGCAAAGAACUCAAAAUUCUUAACACCAAAAACAAACAAACAAACAAACAAACCAAACAAUAAAUGGGCAAAGGAAUGAAACAGACACUUCUCAAAAGAAGAAAUAAAAACUGUUAACAGAUAUCUGAAAAAAAUUCAAUAUCUCUAGCAAUUAGAGAAAUGCAAAUUAAAACUACAUGGAGAUUUCAUCUCACUGCAAUCAGAAUGGCAAUUAUCAAGAAUACAAGUAACAAUAUAUAUUGCUGGUGGGACUACAAAUUGGUGAAACCAUUCUGGAAAGCAAUAUGGAGAUUCCUCAGAAAAUUUGGAAUGGAACCACCAUUUGACCCAGUUAUUCCACUCUUUGAUACAUAUCCAAAGGAUUUAAAAUCAGCAUACAACAGGGACACAGUCACAUCAAUGUUUAUAGCAGCACAAUUCACAAUAGCUAAGCUAUGGAUCCAACAUAGGUGCCUUUCAACAUUGGAAUGGAUAAAGAAAAUGUGCCAUAUAUGCACAAUGGAGUGCUACUCAGCCAUAAAGAAGAAUGACUUUACAUCAUUUUCUUGCAAAUGGAUGGAUCUGAAGAUCACCAUGCUAAGUGAAAUAAGCCAAUUCCUCAUGCUUUCAAAAAAACCAAAACCAAAACAAAACCCACAAUGGUCAAAUGUUUUCUCUGAUAUGUGGAAGCUAACCCACAAUAAGGGGUGGGGAAUAAAUAUUCAGUAGAUUAGAUGAAGGGGAAUGAAGGGAAGGGAUGGGGAUAGGAAAAGGAAAGACAGUGGAAUUAAUUUGAAAUAACUUUCUUAUGUAUAUAUAUGAAUGGUGAGUGAAUCUCACCAUUGUGUACAUCCACAAGAAAUUAAUUUAAAAAAAAAACUAUGGACAAAUGGCAGAAAGAUCAAUAGAGGGAAGGGAGCAGGAGGUGAGGGGAGGAAAGGGGAAGGAGAGGUACUGGGGUCUAUAUUAGAACAAGAUAUACUCCAUGCUUGUAUAAUUAUGCCGAAAUGGACUCUAAAAAGAAUCAACUAAAAAGAAUCAAUUAAAAAAUGACAUGUAUAAAGAAGGUGAAAGAUAAAAACUCGGAAGUCCAUGGGGAAAAGGGCCAUCUUCAUAUAGCUGAAUGUCACCAGCCAGAGAGGUUCGCAUUCAUGUAUGUGGCUCCAAAGGCAAAGCACAUCUAUCCCAGCAAUCUGUCCCAAUCUACACCCCACCACACUGUGCAUCUAGCUCAGUGAAUUGUCUCACAAACAUCACUAGGAUGCAAAUGACAAAUCCACCCAGACAGGUAGCACUGGACAAAUGAUAAGCCCAGUCACUCUGGCCUUGAAGAAGAAUAACCGGACAAGUAAUUUUUAGAAUCAAUAAACUCCCAUGGAGACCAGCACCAUACUCUGUAGAAAGUAGAGACACACUUUUAUCACAGCAACCCUGCAAGUCUGUGGCCCACUCCACUGCCACUGUCCCCGCCACCCUCCUCCCCAGCCCAAUGCCUCUUUGCAUCAUAAAGAAAGGAGGAAAGGCAUAAGAAAGAGAGAGGGAGGAAAAGUUCUUCUCUUUUUUGUCUAUUUAAGCCAUCCUUGGUCCUUGGGACCAAAGUCUUUUCUUGAGGGAUCAUUCCCAAGAUUUGAACCUAUGUCCAUAAACUGCCGCCAAUGUGCCCAGCACCACUUCUGCUUUGUGGUGACCAUCUCUCACUGCAUGCUUCUCAUGACUCCCCCAACAUGGUCCUGGCCUUGUUGCCUACCUCAUGAAUAUUAGGCUCUCUGUGCCUUUCAUUAGGUUCAUCUGAUUAAUCCAUCCAUGGAACUAUACUUUGAACAGAGGUCCUUACUCUCUAGAGAUUACAAGAGUAUUUGCACCAUUCUUUCAGAGAAAAGGCCAGUGAUUUUGUUGUCUUCCCAAAGGAGUGAGUCUUUUGGCAUCUCAACAUAGGCAGGCUAACCUCUGGGUUGCACAGAAGUCUCCUGAGUGAGAAGUGGUAGAAGACAGAAUAUAAGAACUUUGGCUCUCCCACUAAGAAGACUGUGUUCCAAUCCUGAACUUGCUGAUUAAUGGAUAUGUGUACUUCAGCAAAUCAUUUACUUUCCCCAAGUUUCCUUUUAUAUAGGAUGAAAUGAUAAUUCUUAUUAUCAUUUUCAUCCUAUAUAAAAGGAAAUUGAAUCAUGCAUCACAUUUGGCAUACUGCUGGGUAUAUAGUAAGCACUCACAAGUGUUUACUGGUCUCAUUCUUUUCAUGAUUACGUAUGUCCCAUUUCACUAUGAAUCAUAGGAAUAGCAACAUAUCUGAUACUAUGACCCACCCAGCAUGGAUCUUUCUCAGGAAGUGUUUUUACUUUAACAUUUCUGCUGGUUGCUGGAAGCCAGAGAUCUUGACAUUUGAUUCUUCUGGACAAUACACAGAUUGUGAAUGAUGGAUUUGAGCUUUUCUUAAUUUUUUAGUUGGCUCAAUCUUGUUUGAACAACUUGGAAAAUCAUAGAGAUACUCGGAGUUGAACAUUUGUUUGUUGAAGUUUUACUUAAUCUUCUUAAGAGAACUAUAGUGCCAGAUAAAUAACUCCAGAAUAGGAAGGUUUCAUUCUUUCAUAAUAGAGAAAUCAUCUCAGUAUGUGAAUUUGGAAUCCUAGUAGCUUUUAACUCUCUUUCUUCUCCUCUGUUUUCUUUUAUUUUAGGAAUGAUUUCAUUUGUAAAAUUAUCAGUAUGGAAAUAAUGCUUAUUACUAUUAUAAGAAAACUGAGCCAAUCACAACAUAUAUAGGUAAAAACAGAAGUUCUGCUUCUUGUGUAUUUCCCUUUAAACUUUUAUAUGAAGUCAUGUACAGAAAUAAACACAUUUAUUUUUGCAGAGUAAUGGGGUAAUGAUCUAGACACUUUGGUAGACACUACUAAUUGCCUAUCCAAUAUCUAUCUUCUUUUAUUUUUUUAAUGUAUAUUUUUUAGUUGUCAAUGGACCUUUAUUUUAUUUAUUUAUAUGUGGUGCUAAGAAUCGAACCCAGUGCCUCGCACAUGGCUAGGCAAGUGCUCCUACCACUUAGCUACAACCCCAGAUUUCUUUUCUUUUCUUUUUUAAAGUAUUUUUUAGCUAUAGAUGGACACAUAUCUUUAUUUUGUUUAUUUAUUUUUAUGCAGUGCUGAGGAUCGAACCCAGUGCCUCACAUGUGUGAGGCAGGCACUCUGCCACUAAGCUACAGCCCCAGCCCUUAUUUUUUUUUUUAUUAAUAGAAUCUACAAUUUUGUUCCAAGCAGCCAUGUACCCAAUUCAAAAAUCUGCUUUUCCUCACCUUCAUUAUAAUGAGGGAUACUCCAGUGUUAUAGUUCCAGCUAAUGAGAUGGAAGCAAAAUUCUGCUGAGAAUUUCUAAAAGUUUUGCUCUGCUGAUGUAAGCAAGCACCAUUCCUGCCUCUCCACCUUUCCUCUGUCCUGACUGGAAAGAGAAUGAAAGCCUGGAGAAGGAAUCCUGUGACUAUGAGGUGACAGUGAUGACCAACUCUCCCCAUCCAGGACCACAGAAGGGAAGUAGAUCUCUGAGAGAGUCUGUAGUGCUCUGUAUCAAGUGCUCCUCGAGUUUCUGCCCUUUGAUUCUUGUUAUGAGAGAAAUAUAAGUCUUACCAGCUUAAAGCAGUGUCACAAUUCGAUUAUAGCUGUGUUGACAUAUUGAUCCUUUCAGUCUUAUGAGUUGAGUACAGAAGGAAGGGUGAGGAGUCCUGCUAGGAGAGGCCCUUGGUUAAUUGCUUUGGGCCACAAAUAGACCUUAUUUUUCACAUUUUAUACAAACAUUAUAAUUUUCAAUGCAUAUCAUGACCUGAAAAAGAAAUUAUAUCUUCAUAUGUAGAUUUCCAUAACAUUUGAAUCAAUUCUGAUUGUUACAUCCAUUGGUUCUCAUUUUCCUUUUUAUACCACAGUACCUUGAGUAUCCAUUCAUUUAUAUUUCCUUCAAAACAGCAGUAUAGUUCUCUAAGCCAUGAAUAUAGUAUGGCGUUCUCUUCUUAAAGGUUUUUUCAUUUCCUGUCUCUCUCUCAUUCUUUCUAUCUCUGUCUCUGUCUGUUUCUCUCGUUCUCUCCCCCUUCUCCACUCCCUGAUCUCUAUGUUCAAAUAGUACUGCACUGAAUAUCUCUGUGAAUAUUUGUACGCUUUUAUAAAGAAUAUUCCCUCAGAAAAAAAUCACAAAACAUGAAUUUCUCAUUGAAGGAUAUGUGUAUUUAAAAUGUUAGCUCACCACUGACAUAAUGAAAUUCCUUUCAAACUGUGAUACCGAUAUAUAUUUCUACCACUCAUGUAUAAGCUGCCUGUUUUCUCAACUCUAACUCCUAUGGAGUAUAAUCCAUCUUUUUAUUUUGUAUAAAUCUUAGUUUUCUGCCUUACCUUCUUUGGCCUGGGAGUUGGAUGCCGAGAUGGAGAGGUACAAAAUUUUCAGUUCAGUCACACGACUGAGACUUGAAUCCUGGAAAAAGCCUCAUCAUGAAGCAAUGUCUCCUGGACUCCUUCUGUGGCUCUAUAUGUACCACCCACUUCUACUCUUUGAGAGGCCUUGGGAAGAUGCACUUUAUAUCUCUGGAGAAAACUGUCAACUAUGGCUUACAACAUGAGGUGUUGGUGAGGACUGGAGAAAUGGGUUCUCUCUUACAAUGCUGUCAUUUAUGUUAAUUGGUAUAAACCAUUUUAGAAAAGUAAUUCAGUAAUGUGAAUCGAACAUCUAAAAGUGUAUUCACUCUCUGUCCCAACAUUUUUAAAGAGUCCUGAUAGGUAUAAUAUCGAAUAUUUAUUUAUAAGGAUGUUUGCUGCAAUAUUAUACAGAAUAGAAAAAAUUCUGGGAAAACAAAUAGAAAUUAUCUUUGUUAAAUAGUCUAUUUGAUGCCCGUAUAUUUGAAUAGUAUUUACUUAGUUAUUUAAAAUGCCAUAUUAAAGUAGAAAUUGUUAGUUAGCUUUGCUUCACUAUGAUCAAAGUACCUGAAAAGAACAACUUAGAAGAGGAAAGACUUAUUUUGGCUCAUGGUUUCAGAGGAUUCAGCCCCUGGUCAGCUGACUCCAAGACAGAAACAUCAUGGUGGACAUGUGGGCAGAGGAAAGUUUCUCAGGGUAUGGUAGCGAGGGAGCAGAGAGAGAAAGAGAGAGGAAAGGAUCAGGGAUAAGUUAAUCCUUCCUGGGCAUGCCUCCACCAGCUUACUUCAUCCAGUUAGGUCCCACCUCCAAGUAGUUCAUCCAAUCAAUGGAUUAAUCUAGUCACUGCCUAAAAGCCUCAACUCUGAACUUGGCUGCAUUGGAGACCAUGUUUUCAACAGAUGAGCAUUUGGGGGACAUUCCAGAUCUAAAGCAUAACAGAAAUUUAUUUGAGAAAUGUUAAGAGACAAAAGAAGAUACAAAAGAAUAUGUGUAAUAUGAUCCCCAUUUUGAAGUACUUGUGGAAGAUAUUUACACCAAAAUAUUCAUGGCAAUUAUCAAAGAUGGUUGAGAUCAUGAAUUUUUUUUAAAAAAUCUAAAUUUGUUCUAAUUAGUUACAGAUGACAGUAGAAUAAAUGUUGAAACAUUAUACACAAAUGGAGCACAACUUCUCCUUCCUCUGGCUGAACAUGGUGUAGAGUCAUAUCACUAGAGUAAUGCAGAAGGGAGUGAGGGGAGGUGAGAUCAUGAAUUUUUAUUGAUUUUCUUUGUCCUUAUUUGGUAGUUUAAAUUUAUGUAUUUUAAGUAGUUAUUCUUAAAUAUAAAUUAAUUAAAUAAUGUUAAAUAAAAAUAAAAUAGUAGUGAUCUGCAUUUAGAUUUCCUGUGAAA